GACGAACGCUGGCGGCGUGCUUAACACAUGCAAGUCGAACGGAAAGGCCCUGCUUUUGUGGGGUGCUCGAGUGGCGAACGGGUGAGUAACACGUGAGUAACCUGCCCUUGACUUUGGGAUAACUUCAGGAAACUGGGGCUAAUACCGGAUAGGAGCUGCUGCUGCAUGGUGGGGGUUGGAAAGUUUCGGCGGUUGGGGAUGGACUCGCGGCUUAUCAGCUUGUUGGUGGGGUAGUGGUUUACCAAGGCUUUGACGGGUAGCCGGCCUGAGAGGGUGACCGGCCACAGUGGGACUGAGAUACGGCCCAGACUCCUACGGGAGGCAGCAGUGGGGAAUAGUGCACAAUGGGCGGAAGCCGGAUGCAGCAACGCCGCGUGCGGGAUGACGGCCUUCGGGUUGUAAACCGCUUUCGCCUGUGACGAAGCGUGAGUGACGGUAAUGGGUAAAGAAGCACCGGCUAACUACGUG
RNAcentral lists this ribosomal RNA (468 nucleotides) under uncultured bacterium. RNAcentral's name for it is "partial 16S ribosomal RNA". It matches the Rfam family "Bacterial small subunit ribosomal RNA", at positions 28 to 507 of the family's 1533-position model. The record is from RNAcentral.